CUUCACGUCCCGAACACGACGAGUACGUGAGCGCCGAGGGGAAGGAGGUGACACUCUGGCCGAGGCCCUGACCUCGGGCGCCCAGAUGAAGACAUGAAAGCAAGCAGAGGAAUGGAUUAUAGGAACUGAAGACGAGAGGAGAAUCCCUAAGAAAGUUCGUCAAGGGGGCUAAGAUGCCCUGGUGAUGACACUUAGUGAAGGUGUGUCACUAUGUGCCUGAAAAUUCCACAGAGUUAAUAGCAAAAGUGACCAAGAAGUAGCAUUCAAACUUAGACUAUGUGUGGGGGGGGGAGGGGUCCUUCCAGCC
This 307-nucleotide long non-coding RNA is filed under the name Cricetulus griseus (Chinese hamster). RNAcentral's name for it is "lncRNA (ENSCGRG00015030055.1)". The record is from RNAcentral. Lineage: Eukaryota; Metazoa; Chordata; Mammalia; Rodentia; Cricetidae.